UGUUACAAUAACUGAUUUACAAAUAGAAUUAAAAAAUAUUAAAGAAGAAAUUCGAGAAAUAAAAUCAAAAAUUAAAGAACUAGAAAAGGGGGAAAAUAAAAAGGAUGAAGAAAACAAUAACAAUACUGAGAAUAUAGGAAAAAUAAAUCAUUUAAAAUGAUUAACUUCUCAAAAAUGGUAUACUAAAUUAAAUAUAAUAGUCAAUAAUGAAUUUCGAUUAACAUUAGUUGCCAUGAUUGAUAGUGGUGUUGAUAUGAACUGUAUUCAAGAAGGUCUAAUACCCACAAAAUACUAUGAAAAGACUACCUAUAGAUUAUAGAUUAUCUGGAGCCAAUGGGAACCCAUUAAAUAUUAAAUAUAAACUAACAAAUGUUCAUAUUUGCAAAGAAAAUUAUUGUUAUAAAACCCAAUUAGUUUUAGUAAAGGAUUUAACAUCUCAAAUUAUAUUAGGACUCCCAUUCAUAACUCAGUUAUAUCCUUUCACAGUUGAAGAAAAGGGAAUAAGUAUUAAAGUAUUAAAUAAAAGGAUCUGCUUUGAAUUUGCUCAUCCAUUUACUUCAAAACAAAUAAAUAUUUUAAGCUUAAAAGAAAAGCAAAAGGAUUUUUUAAUUGAAGAAAUUGACCAUGUUAGAAUAAAGAAUCAAUUGCAAGAUAAAAUGAUUAUAAAAAGAAUACAAGAAACUAAGAAUAAAUUUAAAGAUAACAUUUGUGCAAAUAUUCCAAAUGCUUUUUGGGAAAGAAAACAACAUAUAGUAAGAUUACCUUAUAUUAAAGAUUUUAAUGAGAGAAAUAUUCCAACCAAGUCUAAAGCUAUACAUAUGUCUCAAGAGUUAGAAGGCUAUUGUAAAAAGGAAAUACAAGAAUUAUUAGAUAAAAAACUAAUUAGACCAUCUAAAUCCCCUUGGUCUUGUUCUGCCUUCUAUGUUCAAAAUAAUGCAGAAAUAGAAAGAGGAGCUCCUAGGUUAGUUAUAAAUUAUAAACCAUUAAAUAAAGUUUUAGAAUGGAUUAGAUAUCCUAUACCAAAUAAAAGAGAUUUAUUAAAAAAGAUUUAUGAUUCAAAAAUAUUUUCUAAAUUUGAUAUGAAGUCUGGAUUUUGGCAAGUUCAAAUUGCUGAAGAAGAUAGAUGUAAAACUGGGUUCAAUGUACCAUUCGGACACUAUGAAUGGAAUGUAAUGCCUUUUGGAUUAAAAAAUGCUCCUUCAGAAUUUCAAAAUAUAAUGAAUGAUAUCAUUUUACCAUUAGGAAAUUAUGCAAUAAUUUAUAUUAAUGAUGUAUUAAUAUUUUCAAAUUCCUUAGAUCAAUAUUUUAAACAUUUAAAUGCUUUCUACAAUAUUAUUCAUAAAAAUGGAUUAGUAGUAUCAUCUUCUAAAAUGAGUCUUUUUCAAACAGAAAUAAAAUUUUUAGGACAUAACAUUAUUCAAGGAACAAUAAAACCUAUUAACAGAAGUUUAGAAUUUUCAAAUAAAUUUCCAAAUGAAAUAAAAGAUAAAAGGCAAUUGCAAAGAUUUUUAGGAUGUUUAAAUUAUAUUCAAGACUUUUUCAAAGAUUUAGGAAUUAUAUGUAAACCUUUAUAUGACAGGUUAAAAAAGAAUCCAAAACCAUGGACUCAAGAACACACGGAUAUAGUAAAAUAUAUCAAAGAUAAAAUAAAAUGCUUACCUUGUUUACAUAUUCCCCAUCCUAAUGCUAAAUUAAUUUUAGAAACUGAUGUAAGUGACUUAGGAUUUGGAGGAAUACUAAAACAGGAAUUAAAUAAUAAAGAAAAUUUAGUUAGAUAUUAUUCAGGUGCAUGAAAUGAUACUCAAAAGAAUUAUUCUACAAUUAAAAAGGAAAUUUUAAGUAUAGUUUUAUGUAUAAAAAAGUUUGAAGAUGAUUUAUACAUGAAACCAUUUUUAUUAAGAAUCGCCUGUUUAUCUGCAAAAUAUAUUUUAGAAAAGGAUAUUAAAAACCUGAUUUCAAAACAAGUUUUUGCAAGAUGGCAAGCAUUAUUAAGCAAUUUUGAUUUUCAAAUAGAAUUUAUAAAAGGAGAAAAUAAUUCUUUACCAGAUUUUUUAUCAAGAGAAUUUUUACAGGGAAUAUGAAUAACUCUGAUUCUACAAAAAAAGAUUGUAUUCUCAAAACAACAAUUCUCAAAAUCUCAAUUAUCAAGUUCUCAAAGUUCCCCAUCAAGACCAACCCAUUUGCAACAAUUUCCUUUAUUACCUAAUAUUCAAAACAAAUUUGCUCCUCUAACUCCAGGGCCCAGACCUAGACCUCCAUUCUCAUCCAUUAUUCAAAAUCUAGAAUCAAAACCCAUUAUUCAAUCUCCUUCUUUCACAAAACUUUCUAAACAAUCCCCUCCUUCAAGCUCUUCACCAGCCACCAUUCCUUAUACUAUCAACCCUAAUAAAAAGAUUAUCAAAAUACUAGAACCUUUGGAAGUCAAAAAGGUUAGCAAAAUUUUUUUUAUCCUUAAUCGACUUCAUUUAUCCAAAAGGAUGCCAUUUUUUCAAAGACGAAUACAAGACCAGAGAUUAUUAUCAAGCAAUUCUAGUAGAUUCCGAAUCAGUCAAAAUUCGACACAAUUUUAAUACUGAAGAUCCUUCCAAGAUUGCUUAUAGUCAAGUAAAAAUUUUAAGGGUUCUAUCUUUGGAAGAUUGGAAUUCUAAGCCUUAUAAUUCAAAAACCCUUUCAAAUUUUAGUGCUUAUCCUCAAUAUAACUAUUAUGAUUAUCAAGAUGCAUGGGAAUAUGCAUUUCUUCUAAGAAAUUUUGAUCAUUCUUGGUUCUUCCAGUUUGAUGAAGAUUUUUCAAAUAUUUAUCCAAGAUGGUUUGUUAAAUGGUUUAAAUAUAUGGGAAUUAUUCUAGAAGCUUUUCCCAAAGAAAUUUCAGAAGCAUUCUCAAGAUUUGUCGAGUAUUUUCAACAUGAUGGAACACCAAUUUUUGAAUAUACUUUACAAUUUAUGAGUGUUUUCAGAAUUCCGUGGAUUUGUUUAUGGACUUACAAUUUUCAAGAAGAAAGCCCUACAGAACUUUCUCCUCCGUUGCUCUAUAGACAAUACAGAUGUAAAUGGUGGAAUAAGUUUAUCAUCACAAAAGCAAAUUCUCAAGCGGUUACCAAGUAUUAUAAGGAACUAACUACUCAAUAUGAAACAAGUUUAAAGUCUCCGAUUCGAGACAUUAAAGCCAGCAAUGAAGAUCAAGAGUAUAUUCAAAGACUUUCAGGAUGCAAUUCUCCAGAAGAAAUUUUAAGGAUAGUCAAUGAAAUUCGACAAUCUCCAUCCACUUCAAAACACUCAUCCCUGGGGACUGAAGUUUUCCAAGAUUCUCAAGACCCAUAUGAUAUGAUAUAAAAAAAAAUGAUGAAAUGAUGAAAGUUUGGAAAAAUAAUUAUCUUCAAAAGUGGUGCAAAAUAAUUCAACAAGAAGACAAUCAACUUUUCUUAUUUUCAAGAAUGCAACAAAUAAUUCAACAAAGAGACAACCGACUUUUCAAUUCUUCAAAAUAGUGCAAAUAAUUCUCAAAGUGGACAAACAAUUUCUUCAACAAAAGCCACUCUAUACGGAAGAUAUUUUCAAAAAUCAAUAAUGAAGACCCUUUUACUCCAUCUAUAAAAGGGAAGAAGAUCAACGAAGAAGAACACACCUCACUUCAUUUAGAAAACCCAUUUCUUAUGUAUGAAAAAACCCUCAAACCCAAAACUUGUAUUAUCAACCUCUCAAUGUUCAAAAUCUUUAGAUUUUCAAAUUAUAGUUGCUCCUCCCGAUUGUAAGGAAAUUAUUUGUAAUCAAGAUUUUCAAUUAAUAAAUUCAGAAGUGGAGAGGAAAAAAAAACCCAGAGACACCAUUGAGAAGGUUUUGCAUUUAACAUGGCUGAGUUGAACAACCAACUACCACAGAGUGUUGCCGGUGGUACGACGACAUUCAAUGAACAUCCGGGUUUACCAUUAAAUGCUGUCCUACAUAGUCUUUUACCUGAUUUUGCAUUUAAUGAAGAUGAAGAUGCAUCGGGUGAGAGUAGAGUUGUUGAAGAUCCUGAACCUAUUUCUACAGAGUUUCUAGCAGUUGAAGUUUUCCAGUCUGAAAACGAGAACGUGGGUGAUUCUGUCUCAGAUCUGCAUCCAUAUGGCAUCAAUGAUGAUGAUGAUGGUGUUCAGAAUUGUACUUUUACAGAGUUGCUAUCCACAGGUAUUCAGGUGGAUGAGUAAUUUUAUGUUCACCACACACCCAAUGGCAGUAGAAUGUGGUGUCCUAAUGUUCCUACUGUUUUAAGACCUGUUGUUGGUUGUGUAUAUGAAACGUGGAAUGAUGUGUUCAGUAUGUA
Molecule: RNA transcript, 4300 nt
Organism: Helianthus annuus (common sunflower)
Lineage: Eukaryota; Viridiplantae; Streptophyta; Magnoliopsida; Asterales; Asteraceae
Exons: 5
Source: RefSeq, a predicted model, not a curated record